RNAcentral lists this ribosomal RNA (1434 nucleotides) under uncultured organism. RNAcentral describes it as "16S ribosomal RNA". It matches the Rfam family "Bacterial small subunit ribosomal RNA". The record is from RNAcentral.
CAGGCUUAACACAUGCAAGUCGAGGGGCAGCAUGGUCUUAUCUUGCUAAGGCCGAUGGCGACCGGCGCACGGGUGAGUAACGCGUAUCCAACCUGCCGUCUACUCUUGGACAGCCUUCUGAAAGGAAGAUUAAUACAAGAUGGCAUCAUGAGUCCGCAUGUUCACAUGAUUAAAGGUAUUCCGGUAGACGAUGGGGAUGCGUUCCAUUAGAUAGUAGGCGGGGUAACGGCCCACCUAGUCUUCGAUGGAUAGGGGUUCUGAGAGGAAGGUCCCCCACAUUGGAACUGAGACACGGUCCAAACUCCUACGGGAGGCAGCAGUGAGGAAUAUUGGUCAAUGGGCGAGAGCCUGAACCAGCCAAGUAGCGUGAAGGAUGACUGCCCUAUGGGUUGUAAACUUCUUUUAUAAAGGAAUAAAGUCGGGUAUGGAUACCCGUUUGCAUGUACUUUAUGAAUAAGGAUCGGCUAACUCCGUGCCAGCAGCCGCGGUAAUACGGAGGAUCCGAGCGUUAUCCGGAUUUAUUGGGUUUAAAGGGAGCGUAGAUGGAUGUUUAAGUCAGUUGUGAAAGUUUGCGGCUCAACCGUAAAAUUGCAGUUGAUACUGGAUAGCUUGAGUGCAGUUGAGGCAGGCGGAAUUCGUGGUGUAGCGGUGAAAUGCUUAGAUAUCACGAAGAACUCCGAUUGCGAAGGCAGCCUGCUAAGCUGCAACUGACAUUGAGGCUCGAAAGUGUGGGUAUCAAACAGGAUUAGAUACCCUGGUAGUCCACACGGUAAACGAUGAAUACUCGCUGUUUGCGAUAUACUGCAAGCGGCCAAGCGAAAGCGUUAAGUAUUCCACCUGGGGAGUACGCCGGCAACGGUGAAACUCAAAGGAAUUGACGGGGGCCCGCACAAGCGGAGGAACAUGUGGUUUAAUUCGAUGAUACGCGAGGAACCUUACCCGGGCUUAAAUUGCAGAUGAAUUACGGUGAAAGCCGUAAGCCGCAAGGCAUCUGUGAAGGUGCUGCAUGGUUGUCGUCAGCUCGUGCCGUGAGGUGUCGGCUUAAGUGCCAUAACGAGCGCAACCCUUGUUGUCAGUUACUAACAGGUUCCGCUGAGGACUCUGACAAGACUGCCAUCGUAAGAUGUGAGGAAGGUGGGGAUGACGUCAAAUCAGCACGGCCCUUACGUCCGGGGCUACACACGUGUUACAAUGGGGGGUACAGAGGGCCGCUACCACGCGAGUGGAUGCCAAUCCCCAAAACCUCUCUCAGUUCGGACUGGAGUCUGCAACCCGACUCCACGAAGCUGGAUUCGCUAGUAAUCGCGCAUCAGCCACGGCGCGGUGAAUACGUUCCCGGGCCUUGUACACACCGCCCGUCAAGCCAUGGGAGCCGGGGGUACCUGAAGUGCGUAACCGCGAGGAGCGCCCUAGGGUAAAACUGGUGACUGGGGC